This 482-nucleotide ribosomal RNA is filed under the name uncultured bacterium. RNAcentral's name for it is "partial 16S ribosomal RNA". It matches the Rfam family "Bacterial small subunit ribosomal RNA", at positions 30 to 507 of the family's 1533-position model. The record is from RNAcentral.
AUUGAACGCUGGCGGCAUGCUUUACACAUGCAAGUCGAACGGUAACAGGCCGCAAGGUGCUGACGAGUGGCGAACGGGUGAGUAAUGCAUCGGAACGUGCCCAGUCGUGGGGGAUAACUACUCGAAAGAGUAGCUAAUACCGCAUACGAUCUAUGGAUGAAAGCGGGGGACCGUAAGGCCUCGCGCGAUUGGAGCGGCCGAUGUCAGAUUAGGUAGUUGGUGGGGUAAAGGCUCACCAAGCCAACGAUCUGUAGCUGGUCCGAGAGGACGACCAGCCACACUGGGACUGAGACACGGCCCAGACUCCUACGGGAGGCAGCAGUGGGGAAUUUUGGACCAUGGGCGCAAGCCUGAUCCAGCAAUGCCGCGUGCAGGAAGAAGGCCUUCGGGUUGUAAACUGCUUUUGUACGGAACGAAACGGCUCUGGUUAAUACCCGGGGCUAAUGACGGUACCGUAAGAAUAAGCACCGGCUAACUACGUG